UGGGGAAUUUUGGACAAUGGGCGAAAGCCUGAUCCAGCAAUGCCGCGUGUGUGAAGAAGGCCUUCGGGUUGUAAAGCACUUUUGUCCGGAAGGAAAUCCUUGGCUCUAAUACAGUCGGGGGAUGACGGUACCGGAAGAAUAAGCACCGGCUAACUACGUGCCAGCAGCCGCGGUAAUACGUAGGGUGCAAGCGUUAAUCGGAAUUACUGGGCGUAAAGCGUGCGCAGGCGGUUUGCUAAGACCGAUGUGAAAUCCCCGGGCUCAACCUGGGAACUGCAUUGGUGACUGGCAGGCUAGAGUAUGGCAGAGGGGGGUAGAAUUCCACGUGUAGCAGUGAAAUGCGUAGAGAUGUGGAGGAAUACCGAUGGCGAAGGCAGCCCCCUGGGCCAAUACUGACGCUCAUGCACGAAAGCGUGGGGGAGCAAACAGGAUUAGAUACCCUGGUAGUCCACGCCCUAAACGAUGUCAACUAGUUGUUGGGGAUUCAUUCCUUAGUAACGUAGCUAACGCGUGAAGUUGACCGCCUGGGGAGUACGGUCGCAAGAUUAAAACUCAAAGGAAUUGACGGGGUCAUAGCUGUUUCCU
RNAcentral lists this ribosomal RNA (585 nucleotides) under uncultured bacterium. RNAcentral's name for it is "partial 16S ribosomal RNA". It matches the Rfam family "Bacterial small subunit ribosomal RNA", at positions 355 to 1375 of the family's 1533-position model. The record is from RNAcentral.